GACGAACGCUGGCGGCGUGCUUAACACAUGCAAGUCGAACGGAAAGGCCCUUCGGGGUCCUCGAGUGGCGAACGGGUGAGUAACACGUGGGUGAUCUGCCCUGCACUUUGGGAUAAGCCUGGGAAACUGGGUCUAAUACAGAAUAGGACCACGCGCUUCAUGGUGUGUGGUGGAAAGAUUGUGCGGUGUGGGAUGGGCCCGCUGCCUAUCAGCUUGUUGGUGGGGUAAUGGCCUACCAAGGCGACGACGGGUAGCCGGCCUGAGAGGGUGACCGGCCACACUGGGACUGAGAUACGGACCAGACUCCUACGGGCGGCAGCAGUGGGGAAUCUUGCACAGUGGGCGCAAGCCUGAUGCAGCGACGCCGCGUGAGGGAUGACGGCCUUCGGGUUGUAAACCUCUUUCACCAGGGACGAAGCGUAAGUGACGGUACCUGGAGAAGAAGCACCGGCCAACUACGUG
RNAcentral lists this ribosomal RNA (462 nucleotides) under uncultured bacterium. Its description in RNAcentral is "partial 16S ribosomal RNA". It matches the Rfam family "Bacterial small subunit ribosomal RNA", at positions 28 to 507 of the family's 1533-position model. The record is from RNAcentral.